UUGAACUCCUGUUCUACACUUCCCC
This 25-nucleotide non-coding RNA is filed under the name Cricetulus griseus (Chinese hamster). The record is from RNAcentral. Lineage: Eukaryota; Metazoa; Chordata; Mammalia; Rodentia; Cricetidae.